This 2901-nucleotide ribosomal RNA is filed under the name Escherichia coli. RNAcentral's name for it is "partial 23S ribosomal RNA". It matches the Rfam family "Bacterial large subunit ribosomal RNA". Lineage: Bacteria; Pseudomonadati; Pseudomonadota; Gammaproteobacteria; Enterobacterales; Enterobacteriaceae. The record is from RNAcentral.
GGGUUGUGAGGUUAAGCGACUAAGCGUACACGGUGGAUGCCCUGGCAGUCAGAGGCGAUGAAGGACGUGCUAAUCUGCGAUAAGCGUCGGUAAGGUGAUAUGAACCGUUAUAACCGGCGAUUUCCGAAUGGGGAAACCCAGUGUGUUUCGACACACUAUCAUUAACUGAAUCCAUAGGUUAAUGAGGCGAACCGGGGGAACUGAAACAUCUAAGUACCCCGAGGAAAAGAAAUCAACCGAGAUUCCCCCAGUAGCGGCGAGCGAACGGGGAGCAGCCCAGAGCCUGAAUCAGUGUGUGUGUUAGUGGAAGCGUCUGGAAAGGCGCGCGAUACAGGGUGACAGCCCCGUACACAAAAAUGCACAUACUGUGAGCUCGAUGAGUAGGGCGGGACACGUGGUAUCCUGUCUGAAUAUGGGGGGACCAUCCUCCAAGGCUAAAUACUCCUGACUGACCGAUAGUGAACCAGUACCGUGAGGGAAAGGCGAAAAGAACCCCGGCGAGGGGAGUGAAAAAGAACCUGAAACCGUGUACGUACAAGCAGUGGGAGCACGCUUCGGCGUGUGACUGCGUACCUUUUGUAUAAUGGGUCAGCGACUUAUAUUCUGUAGCAAGGUUAACCGAAUAGGGGAGCCGAAGGGAAACCGAGUCUUAACUGGGCGUUAAGUUGCAGGGUAUAGACCCGAAACCCGGUGAUCUAGCCAUGGGCAGGUUGAAGGUUGGGUAACACUAACUGGAGGACCGAACCGACUAAUGUUGAAAAAUUAGCGGAUGACUUGUGGCUGGGGGUGAAAGGCCAAUCAAACCGGGAGAUAGCUGGUUCUCCCCGAAAGCUAUUUAGGUAGCGCCUCGUGAAUUCAUCUCCGGGGGUAGAGCACUGUUUCGGCAAGGGGGUCAUCCCGACUUACCAACCCGAUGCAAACUGCGAAUACCGGAGAAUGUUAUCACGGGAGACACACGGCGGGUGCUAACGUCCGUCGUGAAGAGGGAAACAACCCAGACCGCCAGCUAAGGUCCCAAAGUCAUGGUUAAGUGGGAAACGAUGUGGGAAGGCCCAGACAGCCAGGAUGUUGGCUUAGAAGCAGCCAUCAUUUAAAGAAAGCGUAAUAGCUCACUGGUCGAGUCGGCCUGCGCGGAAGAUGUAACGGGGCUAAACCAUGCACCGAAGCUGCGGCAGCGACACUAUGUGUUGUUGGGUAGGGGAGCGUUCUGUAAGCCUGUGAAGGUGUGCUGUGAGGCAUGCUGGAGGUAUCAGAAGUGCGAAUGCUGACAUAAGUAACGAUAAAGCGGGUGAAAAGCCCGCUCGCCGGAAGACCAAGGGUUCCUGUCCAACGUUAAUCGGGGCAGGGUGAGUCGACCCCUAAGGCGAGGCCGAAAGGCGUAGUCGAUGGGAAACAGGUUAAUAUUCCUGUACUUGGUGUUACUGCGAAGGGGGGACGGAGAAGGCUAUGUUGGCCGGGCGACGGUUGUCCCGGUUUAAGCGUGUAGGCUGGUUUUCCAGGCAAAUCCGGAAAAUCAAGGCUGAGGCGUGAUGACGAGGCACUACGGUGCUGAAGCAACAAAUGCCCUGCUUCCAGGAAAAGCCUCUAAGCAUCAGGUAACAUUAAAUCGUACCCCAAACCGACACAGGUGGUCAGGUAGAGAAUACCAAGGCGCUUGAGAGAACUCGGGUGAAGGAACUAGGCAAAAUGGUGCCGUAACUUCGGGAGAAGGCACGCUGAUAUGUAGGUGAAGUCCCUCGCGGAUGGAGCUGAAAUCAGUCGAAGAUACCAGCUGGCUGCAACUGUUUAUUAAAAACACAGCACUGUGCAAACACGAAAGUGGACGUAUACGGUGUGACGCCUGCCCGGUGCCGGAAGGUUAAUUGAUGGGGUUAGCGGUAACGCGAAGCUCUUGAUCGAAGCCCCGGUAAACGGCGGCCGUAACUAUAACGGUCCUAAGGUAGCGAAAUUCCUUGUCGGGUAAGUUCCGACCUGCACGAAUGGCGUAAUGAUGGCCAGGCUGUCUCCACCCGAGACUCAGUGAAAUUGAACUCGCUGUGAAGAUGCAGUGUACCCGCGGCAAGACGGAAAGACCCCGUGAACCUUUACUAUAGCUUGACACUGAACAUUGAGCCUUGAUGUGUAGGAUAGGUGGGAGGCUUUGAAGUGUGGACGCCAGUCUGCAUGGAGCCGACCUUGAAAUACCACCCUUUAAUGUUUGAUGUUCUAACGUUGACCCGUGAUCCGGGUUGCGGACAGUGUCUGGUGGGUAGUUUGACUGGGGCGGUCUCCUCCUAAAGAGUAACGGAGGAGCACGAAGGUUGGCUAAUCCUGGUCGGACAUCAGGAGGUUAGUGCAAUGGCAUAAGCCAGCUUGACUGCGAGCGUGACGGCGCGAGCAGGUGCGAAAGCAGGUCAUAGUGAUCCGGUGGUUCUGAAUGGAAGGGCCAUCGCUCAACGGAUAAAAGGUACUCCGGGGAUAACAGGCUGAUACCGCCCAAGAGUUCAUAUCGACGGCGGUGUUUGGCACCUCGAUGUCGGCUCAUCACAUCCUGGGGCUGAAGUAGGUCCCAAGGGUAUGGCUGUUCGCCAUUUAAAGUGGUACGCGAGCUGGGUUUAGAACGUCGUGAGACAGUUCGGUCCCUAUCUGCCGUGGGCGCUGGAGAACUGAGGGGGGCUGCUCCUAGUACGAGAGGACCGGAGUGGACGCAUCACUGGUGUUCGGGUUGUCAUGCCAAUGGCACUGCCCGGUAGCUAAAUGCGGAAGAGAUAAGUGCUGAAAGCAUCUAAGCACGAAACUUGCCCCGAGAUGAGUUCUCCCUGACUCCUUGAGAGUCCUGAAGGAACGUUGAAGACGACGACGUUGAUAGGCCGGGUGUGUAAGCGCAGCGAUGCGUUGAGCUAACCGGUACUAAUGAACCGU